This is a long non-coding RNA of Osmerus eperlanus (European smelt), 1985 nucleotides long. RefSeq lists it as uncharacterized. NCBI's taxonomy places the organism in Eukaryota, Metazoa, Chordata, Actinopteri, Osmeriformes, Osmeridae. The transcript has 2 exons. The record is from RefSeq and is a predicted model, not a curated record.
CUCUACCUCUCUCUCCCCUCAUGUCCUCUCUCUCUAUCUCUACCUCUCUCUCCCCUCAUGUCCUCUCUCUCUAUCUCUACCUCUCUCUCCCCUCAUGUCCUCUCUCUCUAUCUCUACCUCUCUCUCCCCUCAUGUCCUCUAUCUCUACCUCUCUCUCCCCUCAUGUCCUCUCUAUCUCUACCUCUCUCUCCCCUUAUGUCCUCUCUCUAUCUCUACCUCUCUCUCCCCUCAUGUCCUCUCUCUCUAUCUCUACCUCUCUCUCCCCUCAUGUCCCCUCUCUCUAUCACUACCUCUCUCUCCCCUCAUGUCCUCUCUCUCUAUCACUACCUCUCUCUCCCCUCAUGUCCUCUCUCUCUAUAUCUACCUCUCUCUCCCCUCAUGUCCCCCUCUCUGACUCUGACCAGCCAUUCCUCCGCAAGCUGGAGAAGCACGCACAGAGGAUAUCCAAUUACUGUCCCAGCACAGGCCCCCCAGGUACUCAGACAGCCCAGCGCAAGCCUAACAAGCCCCGGCCACAGAAACCCCCCUAAUCACCUGCUUCUGUACGUGGAGCUCAUCCCUCUCCGACUGCCUGUUAGACUCAGGUGUCACGGCUGCUCUCUCCUGGAUGUUGUGGCGUCCUUUUUGCUCGGCCACAGCCCCCCUCGCUGUCUUUCUUUCUUUCUCUCUUACUAACUCUUCUCUCCUGUUCUGCCUCAUUACUCCUCCUCAGUUCAGAGGGUGAUGGCGGCAUUCAGACCAGGAAGUGGGGUAGCCUGUGAUGUGUCCUCACGUGCUCAGCCAGGAAGUAGGGUAGCCUGUGAUGUGUCCUCAUGUGCUCAGCCAGGAAGUAGGGUAGCCUAUGAUUGGUCUCGCUAUGAUGGGAGAGAGACCGGUCUGUGGUUCUCCCUGUUGGAACACAUUGAGAGAGAGACCCUCAUCUUAGAACCCUGGAAAAGAGAGAUUAAUUGAAAUGGCUCUCUACUGUGUAAUUGCAUAAUAUUAAUAUUUCUCAGACCGAUUUACUACAACCUUGAAGAUCAAAGCCAUUCAGACAUUUUGCAGUUCACUACGGUGUGUCGCCUGAACAAUUGCAGUAGAGCUGUUCUAUCUAAUUUAAGACAUAAAAUGACUUGCUGCUAUUUUCAUUUUAUUUUUAAAGAGGGAGCGAGAGAGACCAGCUUUUUUGUUCCACAGCUGUUCAACUUUAACAUAAAUUUUCCUUUUGACAUUUCAGACCACCCGUCCCUUUGUAAAACUGCCAUAACAUAUGCCAAGCUGUGCAGAGCAAAAUUCAAGCCCUCUUCCCCACAAAGUGAUACUAUUUCUUUGGAUGUGUGUGAAAGAGGGUAGCCCUCUGGAGUUCCCAGGAGCCUGUGUUCCAACGUCCCUGAGGAAGACGGGUUCUGGGUUUACUGCCAACAGGGGAUUGUUGUUUCCUUUGUGAAGGAAUAGUUACUCUCAGAUGCUGAGCUGUCUGUCUGUGUGUGUGUCUGUCUGUGUGUGUGUGUGUCUGUGUGUGUGUGUCGGUCUGUGUGUGUCUGUGUGUCAGCGCUGUCGCAUUAAUCCAGUGUAAACACCCAUCAGCGGUUUGUUCUCAUUUUGGAGAGCAAACCGUUUGUUGCCCGAAAUCUCUCCCCCCAAAUUUUUGGGAGAAGAUUUUUAUCUGGCGGAAUUGUUUGUGGGAAGAGGCCCCGGGGAAGACCCAGGACACGCUGGAGGGACUAUGUCUUUUGGCUGGCCAUCCGACUGUCUUCAGGGAGGGAAAGCAGGCUGAUUGGGUCGUUACCUGAAGUCGGGGUGAAGUGGCUGGGGGAGGGGUAUCUUAAUGUGAUUGGUCUUGGUUGGAGUUUGAAAUGUCUUCUCCCUCCCUCUCUUUCUCCCCCCUUCUCCCUCAUGCAUAUCCUGCUGUGUUACCAUGCAUACUACUGCACUGUGUGCUUCAUGGCACUUGUGUUUAAGCUGUUUGUAAAUAAAGAAUUGAUGCCUAGAAGAUGGCGUGUGGA